AACGGGUAACGGAGGAUUAGGGUUUGAUUCCGGAGAAGGAGCAUGAGAAACGGCUACUAUUUCUAAGGAAAGCAGCAGGCGCGCAAAUUAUUCAAUGGAAACAAUUUUCCGAAAUAGUGACAAAAAAUAUCAAUGCUGGGUACUAUGUAUCUAGUAAUUGGAAUGAGUACAAUUUAAAUCCCUUAACAAGUAACAAUUAGAGGGCAAGUCUGGUGCCAGCAGCCGCGGUAAUUCCAGCUCUAAUAGCGUAUAUUAAUAUUGUUGCAGUUAAAAAGCUCGUAGUUGAAAUUUGGGACUUUAUUGUAUUGGUUUGUCUUUCGAUGAACUAUAUAAUGGGUUUCUUCCUACUAGAGUUCGAUUCUGUUCUUAACUGAAUGGAGUAGCUAUCUCUCGGGGUAGUCAGUUGGUAUUAUGUCUCCACUAAUAAAGCAGAGAAGGAGUAAAAAUCUUCAAAGUAAGUUAUGUGGGUCAAGAUAUAGUGAUUAAUUGGAGUUCUAGUUCAUUUUACUUGAGAAAUUAGAGUGUUUAAAGCAGCCU
This 537-nucleotide ribosomal RNA is filed under the name uncultured eukaryote. Its description in RNAcentral is "bacterial SSU rRNA". It matches the Rfam family "Eukaryotic small subunit ribosomal RNA", at positions 354 to 786 of the family's 1831-position model. The record is from RNAcentral.